UUUCACACUGUCAAGAAAAGCUUCUAUCGAGUUUAAAGGCGCCCGUACCGUAAACCGACACAGGUGGGUGAGGAGAGUAUCCUAAGGCCAGCGAGAGAACUAUUGUUAAGGAACUCGGCAAAAUGACCCCGUAACUUAGGGAGAAGGGGUGCCUGUCUAUGACAGGCCGCAGAGAAUAGGCCCAAGCGACUGUUUACCAAAAACACAGGUUUCUGCUAAGUCGCAAGACGAUGUAUAGGAGCUGACGCCUGCCCGGUGCUGGAAGGUUAAGGGGAUCUGUUAGAGCAAUCGAAGCAGUGAACUUAAGCCCCAGUAAUCGGCGGCCGUAACAAUAACGGUCCUAAGGUAGCGAAAUUCCUUGUCGGGUAAGUUCCGACCCGCACGAAAGGCGUAACGAUUUGGGCACUGUCUCAACAAUAGACUCGGUGAAAUUGUAAUCCCGGUGAAGAUGCCGGGUACCUGCGACAGGACGGAAAGACCCCAUGGAGCUUUACUGUAGCUUGACGUUGGGUCUUGGUACUACAUGUACAGGAUAGGUGGGAGACUAUGAAGCAUGGACGCCAGUCUGUGUGGAGUCAUCCUUGGGAUACCACCCUUGUAGUACUGGGAUCCUAACCAUAGGCCUUGAAUCAGGUCUUGGAACACCGUCAGGUGGGCAGUUUGACUGGGGCGGUCGCCUCCUAAAAAGUAACGGAGGCGCUCAAAGGUUUCCUCAGCACGGUCGGAAAUCGUGCGAAGAGUGUAAAGGCAAAAGGAAGCUUGAUUGCAAGACAUACAGGUCGAGCAAGGACGAAAGUCGGACUUAGUGAUCCGGUGGUACCGCAUGGAAGGGCCAUCGCUCAACGGAUAAAAGCUACCCUGGGGAUAACAGGCUUAUCUCCCCCAAGAGUCCACAUCGACGGGGAGGUUUGGCACCUCGAUGUCGGCUCAUCACAUCCUGGGGCUGUAGUAGGUCCCAAGGGUUGGGCUGUUCGCCCAUUAAAGUGGUACGCGAGCUGGGUUCAGAACGUCGUGAGACAGUUCGGUCCCUAUCCGUCGCAGGCGUAGGAAAUUUGAGAAGACCUGUCCUUAGUACGAGAGGACCGGGAUGGACGUACCUCUGGUGUACCAGUUGUUCUGCCAAGGGCAUGGCUGGGUAGCUAUGUACGGAAUGGAUAAGCGCUGAAAGCAUCUAAGCGCGAAGCCAACUUCAAGAUAAGAUUUCCCACCGUAAGGGUAAGACCCCAGGAAGACUACCUGGUUGAUAGGUCGAAGGUGUAAGUGCAGUAAUGUAUUUAGCUUAUCGAUACUAAUAGGUCGAGGACUUGACC
This 1310-nucleotide ribosomal RNA is filed under the name metagenome. RNAcentral's name for it is "bacterial LSU rRNA". It matches the Rfam family "Bacterial large subunit ribosomal RNA", at positions 1598 to 2925 of the family's 2925-position model. The record is from RNAcentral.